CCUACGGGUGGCAGCAGUGAGGAAUAUUGGUCAAUGGGCGAGAGCCUGAACCAGCCAAGUCGCGUGAGGGAAGACGGUCCUACGGAUUGUAAACCUCUUUUGUCAGGGAGCAAGGAGCGCCACGAGUGGUGCGGCGAGAGUACCUGAAGAAAAAGCAUCGGCUAACUCCGUGCCAGCAGCCGCGGUAAUACGGAGGAUGCGAGCGUUAUUCGGAUUUAUUGGGUUUAAAGGGUGCGCAGGCGGGCUGUUAAGCCGGCGGUAAAAAUUCAGGGCUCAACCCUGUCGAGCCGUCGGAACUGGCAGCCUUGAGUGGGCGAGAAGUAUGCGGAAUGCGUGGUGUAGCGGUGAAAUGCAUAGAUAUCACGCAGAACGCCGAUUGCGAAGGCAGCAUACCGGCGCCCGACUGACGCUGAGGCACGAAAGCGUGGGGAUCGAACAGGAUUAGAUACCCUUGUAGUC
RNAcentral lists this ribosomal RNA (459 nucleotides) under uncultured bacterium. RNAcentral's name for it is "partial 16S ribosomal RNA". It matches the Rfam family "Bacterial small subunit ribosomal RNA", at positions 338 to 795 of the family's 1533-position model. The record is from RNAcentral.